UCUGUCUGGGAUUGCCCAGCUGGCUCCUGGGACCAUUGCCAUGCCCAGUGCACAGAGCUGUGGUGGGGCGGUCCCUGGCGCAGAGUGAGGGGUCCUCCUGUAAAGCGUCAGGGGGUCGUGCUGGCCGGAGGAGGGGGUCCCAGGCAAAUGGGCUGGCAGAUCCUGGUGGAGGGCAGGUGGGGGUCCUAGGCAGGCAAUGGGGAAAUCCCAGGCAGGCAGUGAGGGACUAUAAAAUGACUCUACACAAACAGCCCCCCACCCCAUUUCUCCUGCCAUUUGCAGGAGCAAAUCCAGCCAUGGGGGAGCAAACAACCCAGGAAUGAGAGUUUCCUAGCAGACAGGCAUGGAGAGGGCACAGGGAAAAGGAGAUAGAGAGACUGACAGGGUCCGUGGGAUAAGAGUUUUGAAAGAGAUUUCCAGCUCUCUCAUCUGCCCAGACAGAUGUAUUACUGCACUGUGGGGAGAAUCACUUUCCUGUGGACAAGACGAGGAUGAGAGAGAGGAAAACCCAGUUCCUGACUCCAUGUCCCUCCUGCUGGGGUGUGGCUGCCGUGGGGGAAAGAGCCUGGGGGAAGCGUGAUGUGAAAUGAACUAAUGCCCGUUCCCAAACCUCCACAAUGGCCCUUCUCGCCCGGCCAGGCUGCAGAACGACGCUCACGUUUCAUUCCGGUUCAUCCCGUCCUCCCAUGGGACAAGGGAGCGACAUGGCUGCAGAGGAGCCAGCUCAGGGGCCGGUGACCUUCGAGGAGGUGGCUGUGUAUUUCACCAGGGAAGAGGGGGCUCUGCUGGACCCCGCUCAGAGAGCCCUCUCCAGAGACGUCAUGCAGGAGACCUGUGAGACUGUGACCUCGCUGGACUUGUGCAGUGUUUCUGGGUGACACCCCCGGACAGACUGGCAUCAGCACUGCCGAGCCUCUUCACUGGCCUGUCAAGGGUCAUCAGCUGUACAAUGAGCCCAUGAAAAGAACCAAGGGGAUACAGCUAUUGAGUCAGCAAGACAUGCAGGGGUAUGCCUGUGUACUGAGACCUCCAGGGCUUUUCCAUGCCAUGUGCUGUGAAGCUUGUGUUUGGGACACAGGAAGUACAAGCCACAAGGCAAAGGGAAUAGAAAGGGCAGCUGCAUCAUCUUCAUUUUCUCUUCAAUCCCUCUUCCUACCUCUGGAGCAACUUCUCUGCAAACUGAAGCCUUGAACAAAGGACUGAAUGACCCAUCCAAGCUGUGGAUGUGUUCCAGACGGACUUUCAAGCCAGGAACUCACCAAAACUGUGAAGAACCCGAUAUAUAGAUUUCUGAAUGUAUCUGACCUUUCCUUCUUUCCUUUAGUUUAGAGGCUAAAGGAUUGGCUGGCAGCCUGGUAUUUUGGGCUUUCCCAUUUCCAAACCUGAUGUGUUUUCCCAGCUGGAACAAGGGGAAGAGCCAUGGGUCUCAGAGCUCCAGGGUUCAGAGGAAAGACAGACCCUGAGAGCUCCCUGCAAAGCAGGUGAUGCGAUGGCAUGUGAGAAAGAGGAGCAGAAUUCUCAGCAGGAAGAUGCUGGGCAAGUGGAUAAACACAGAGCAUUAUCACAAAGAUCGGAAAGGAAUGUGUCCAGGAGUCAUGAGCAGGGAAAAUCCUGUGAGAUUCAGCACAGACCAGAGAGAGAGAGCAGGGAAAUCGGCCAAGGGAUAAAGUGGGUAAAUUAAUUUCCUGUCGGGGAACUCAGAAGGACCUCAAGGAAAGCACAACACAGCAGGAAAUCCUCAGGGGAAAGACAAAAAAUGCAUGCACUGAGUGUGGGAAAAACGUAUAUGACCAGUCAGCCCUUAUAAAGCAUCAGAGAAUCCGCGCAGGAGAGAGGCCCUAUGAAUGCCGUGAGUGUGAGAACCUUCAAUCGCAGCUCAAACCUUGUUACUCAUCAGAGAACCACACAGGGGAGAGGCCCUAUGAAUGCUGUGAGUGUGGGAAAACCUUCUCUUGGCACUCAGCCCAUGUUAGCCAUCCAAGAAUCUGCACAGGAGAUCAACACCAUAAAAACCUCUAGGGCUAUCCGUACUUUUUUUUCUUUAAUACUUUUCCUGAUUCCCACAUAGUAACUUGUAAAGUUGUUUGAACUGUUUGCAGCACCGUUAUCCCUCAGUGUGUCCAAAUGAGUGGCCCAUUUUUGCCUUUUGCAGUUCACCCUGUUUUGAGGUGGACCCAUUUGUCCUUCCUAUCUACUCCAUUGUCUCAUGAAUAAUUUGAGUGUGCCCUUCCUAUCAGGAACCAGGGAGCAUCACAUCUAUACCAUUCCUCCUAUUGCAAAAUUAUUGUUCGGAAUCACCAAUGAUUCAGAUUAUAUCAUUGCCAGUUGUU
This is a non-coding RNA of Caretta caretta (loggerhead turtle), 2330 nucleotides long. The record is from RefSeq and is a predicted model, not a curated record. NCBI's taxonomy places the organism in Eukaryota, Metazoa, Chordata, Testudines, Cheloniidae.